GCAGUGGGGAAUAUUGGACAAUGGGCGCAAGCUUGAUCCAGCCAUGCCGCGUGUGUGAAGAAGGCCUUCGGGUUGUAAAGCACUUUUGUUCGGGAAGAAAAGCUACCGGUUAAUACCCGGGAGUCAUGACGGUACCGAAAGAAUAAGCACCGGCUAACUUCGUGCCAGCAGCCGCGGUAAUACGAAGGGUGCAAGCGUUACUCGGAAUUACUGGGCGUAAAGCGUGCGUAGGUGGUGCGUUAAGUCUGUCGUGAAAGCCCCGGGCUCAACCUGGGAAUGGCGAUGGAUACUGGCGCGCUAGAGUGCGGUAGAGGAGAGUGGAAUUCCCGGUGUAGCAGUGAAAUGCGUAGAGAUCGGGAGGAACAUCAGUUGCGAAGGCGGCUCUCUGGACCAACACUGACACUGAGGCACGAAAGCGUGGGGAGCAAACAGGAUUAGAUACCCUGGUAGUCCACGCCCUAAACGAUGCGAACUGGACGUUGGGAGCAACUAGGCUCUCAGUGUCGAAGCUAACGCGUUAAGUUCGCCGCCUGGGGAGUACGGUCGCAAGACUGAAACUCAAAGGAAUUGACGGAAGC
This 578-nucleotide ribosomal RNA is filed under the name uncultured bacterium. Its description in RNAcentral is "bacterial SSU rRNA". It matches the Rfam family "Bacterial small subunit ribosomal RNA", at positions 351 to 920 of the family's 1533-position model. The record is from RNAcentral.